ACCAGCAGCGAUAGCACGUUGUUUGCACCAAUUUCCAAUGGAUCACUCAAGUUAAGCAACAAUCCGUGUUGUUAGUAUUCGCAUGGGUGACCAUCUGGACAAUCGCGUGCUACAGGUU
Molecule: ribosomal RNA, 118 nt
Filed under: Diaphorina citri (Asian citrus psyllid)
Lineage: Eukaryota; Metazoa; Arthropoda; Insecta; Hemiptera; Psyllidae
Source: RNAcentral